Molecule: ribosomal RNA, 397 nt
Filed under: uncultured bacterium
Lineage: Bacteria
Description: bacterial SSU rRNA
Rfam family: Bacterial small subunit ribosomal RNA
Source: RNAcentral
UAUUGCACAAUGGGGGAAAACCUGAUGCAGCGACGCCGCGUGAGUGAAGAAGUAGUUCGGUGUGUAAAGCUCUAUCCGCAGGGAAGAAAAUGACGGUACCUGAUUAAGAAGCCCCGGCUAACUACGUGCCAGCAGCCGCGGUAAUACGUAGGGGGCAAGCGUUAUCCGGAUUUACUGGGUGUAAAGGGAGCGUAGACGGCGGCACAAGUCUGGGGUGAAAUGCCGGGGCUUAACCCCGGAACUGCUUUGGAAACUGUGCAGCUAGAGUGCAGGAGAGGUAAGUGGAAUUCCUAGUGUAGCGGUGAAAUGCGUAGAUAUUAGGAGGAGCACCAGUGGCGAAGGCGGCUUACUGGACUGUAACUGACGUUGAGGCUCGAAAGCGUGGGGAGCAAACAGG